Molecule: ribosomal RNA, 440 nt
Filed under: uncultured bacterium
Lineage: Bacteria
Description: partial 16S ribosomal RNA
Rfam family: Bacterial small subunit ribosomal RNA
Source: RNAcentral
CCUACGGGGGGCAGCAGUGGGGAAUAUUGCACAAUGGGGGAAACCCUGAUGCAGCGACGCCGCGUGAGUGAAGAAGUAAUUCGUUAUGUAAAGCUCUAUCAGCAGGGAAGAAAAUGACGGUACCUGAGUAAGAAGCCCCGGCUAACUACGUGCCAGCAGCCGCGGUAAUACGUAGGGGGCAAGCGUUAUCCGGAUUUACUGGGUGUAAAGGGAGCGUAGACGGCAGUGCAAGUCUGGAGUGAAAGCCCGUGGCCCAACCACGGGACUGCUUUGGAAACUGUGUUGCUGGAGUGCAGGAGGGGUAAGCGGAAUUCCUAGUGUAGCGGUGAAAUGCGUAGAUAUUAGGAGGAACACCGGUGGCGAAGGCGGCUUACUGGACUGUAACUGACGUUGAGGCUCGAAGGCGUGGGGAGCAAACAGGAUUAGAUACCCUGGUAGUC